This 431-nucleotide ribosomal RNA is filed under the name uncultured bacterium. RNAcentral describes it as "partial 16S ribosomal RNA". It matches the Rfam family "Bacterial small subunit ribosomal RNA", at positions 29 to 507 of the family's 1533-position model. The record is from RNAcentral.
AACGAACGCUGGCGGCAGGCUUAACACAUGCAAGUCGAGCGCCCCGCAAGGGGAGCGGCAGCCGGGUGAGUAACGCGUGGGAACGUACCUUUUGGUUCGGAACAACUCCGGGAAACUGGAGCUAAUACCGGAUAAGCCCUAACGUGGAAAGAUUUAUCGCCGAAAGAUCGGCCCGCGUCUGAUUAGCUAGUUGGUGAGGUAACGGCUCACCAAGGCGACGAUCAGUAGCUGGUCUGAGAGGAUGAUCAGCCACACUGGGACUGAGACACGGCCCAGACUCCUACGGGAGGCAGCAGUGGGGAAUAUUGGACGAUGGGCGCAAGCCUGAUCCAGCCAUGCCGCGUGAGUGAUGAAGGCCUUAGGGUUGUAAAGCUCUUUUGUCCGGGAAGAUAAUGACUGUACCGGAAGAAUAAGCCCCGGCUAACUUCGUG